UUUAUUUGAGAUUUGUGUGUGUUCGGUUUGCCCCAAAUCCCAACAUACAGCUAUCUCCAAAUUGUCUUAAACCUAAUAUCCAGUUCACAAUCACAACUCACAAGUUCUUGUGCUCAAAUCACCGAGCUCUCAUAUCUUGAACCUUUGAUUCGUCCUAGCCCUCAUAACCUGCGCCACACUAAAAAUCUCUCUCUCACAAAAAUCUCAGAGGAAAAGCGAGGUCAGAGAUCUCCCUAGAGUUAUCGAAAUAGUGACAAAAGAGUCUAAAACACCUUCGUCGCCAAUCGCAACCCACCAAUCUUCUUCACUUUUGUCCUGAGGUAAAACCGUAGAACCCAUUUAGAUUGGGUUCUGAUUGUUGAUUGACAAUCUGAUUUGUCGGCGACGGCCAAGAUUGGAGAUGAAUUUGGGUUCCAAGGAAAGAAGAAGGAAGACCAUAGAGCAACAGAACUGAAAAUCAAGGCUAUAUGAAAGAGAGGACAAGGACCAGCGUGGAAGCUAUGUUACUGGUAUAUGGUUAAUUUAAUUGUAUGAUAGAUGGUCAGAACCUAUUUCCUCCUUCUAUUCCCAGAAUUGUUGGUAGCUGCAAAGAAAGCUUUUUCUUCUGUCAGCUGUUCCAUCUUUUUUAUUUUAGUGGUGGUUAGUUCAAUGUGUAAAGUUGGAUUGCUCUACCCAUUAUCGUACUGGGAUUGAAGUGCAGGAUAGUUUGUUGAUUUCACUGAACAAGGAAUGAUCCGUGACUUCUCAAAGAUAAGUCUGCAACCCAGAAUUUUCAAUGAACCUCCUUGCUUUCAGUUCAGCUUUCAGGUACUUGAGAAUGAGGCUACUGUAGCUGGAAGUGUUAUACAAUUCUAAAGAAUGUUUUCCAGUAUUUCAAGUCUAUGACUUAGAUUAGAUUUCUUGAACUAGAUUUCUGUGAACUUGUUGUUUGUCAUUAUGAAAUUUUCUAUAUGUAACUGUUACUCUAAAUUAUAUUGAAAAGUUAAUCAUUU
Molecule: long non-coding RNA, 992 nt
Organism: Argentina anserina (silverweed cinquefoil)
Lineage: Eukaryota; Viridiplantae; Streptophyta; Magnoliopsida; Rosales; Rosaceae
Exons: 5
Source: RefSeq, a predicted model, not a curated record